Molecule: long non-coding RNA, 1192 nt
Organism: Cyprinus carpio carpio
Lineage: Eukaryota; Metazoa; Chordata; Actinopteri; Cypriniformes; Cyprinidae
Source: Ensembl
AGAUUAUUUAAUCAAAAGCACAGGCUUCUGUUUAUUGACCAUUGCACGCACAUGAACAGAUGAGAAUAUUUACACAGAUGUAAACAGUCAGUACCUGCAACACAUUAGAGUAGAGCUGCACAUAGUGUGACUAACACAGCUACGUACCAGAACAAACAGCACAUUUACCACCAUUAAAGCCCAGUCAACUUGCUUCUGCUACUUUGCACAAGUUGGGGUGCACAUGUCUGUUUAGUCUUAAACUCAAGCUCUCUUUGUUCUUGUUUGAAGUAUUUUUGGAGGAGCACAUAGAUUAUACGAGUGUUAAAAAAGAAGAAAGUUUUAUUCAAAGUAAUCACACACCCUGAAUAAAUAGGAUUUUUUUUUUUUUUUUUACUAUAACAAUAUCUUUACAAUGUAGAGAAACUUCUAGUUUAUUUGUACCUUUCAGUGACCCCUCAAUCUCAUAGCUUCACAUACUCAUAAGUUAAUUUGCUGUCUGAAAGGAACAAGAUUCAUUCUCCAAUACUACAAAUGCAAACAUUGAAGAAAUUCUGAAGCAGACAUUAAAUACUUUUUCCUCUUGACACCUCAAAAAAAAAAGAAUUUUGCAGUUUGUCUGAAUUUCAUUCGCUCAUCUCAUAAUGCUCUGACAAUGAACAGUAGGUAUUUUUUGGGUACUUUUUUUAAAAGCAAAUAAAAAAGGCAAAAAACUAAAAUGAAAGUGCAAAUCUGCUAGUAAUGCUCAUCUAUUCAAACACACACAGUGUUUCUGUGCAUUACAAUACUGUGGCCUCCUCUCACAUGAUCCUGCACAGCAGGACAUAUCUGUGUUGAAGGCCUCCGAUGCCACUGUGAUGACCAGCCGUCAUCCCCUCGUUCCACAGUGUGUGCAAUUUUCCAGCACACAGACAUUGCUGUCAGGAAAACAUCCACACAACAGCAGUUUCUAUACAGUCCACAAACAGACAGAAAGAAAUAGAGAAACUACAAACACAUGGACUGGAUUCUACAAAAGAUCUGUUUGCUCCUCUACUGAUGUUCCUUCAUUAUCAUGGCUCUCACUUCAUCUUAAAAUUAAGAAUAACUAAUUCACAAACUUCUAGUGUACACUUAAAAUAUGUACACUUUACUGAUGAUGGGAAAGUACACUGACUGUAGACAGUAUCUGGAUGUCAUGAAGUUGUUAUGAAACAACUUGCAGAAUUUGGAA